This 253-nucleotide ribosomal RNA is filed under the name uncultured bacterium. Its description in RNAcentral is "partial 16S ribosomal RNA". It matches the Rfam family "Bacterial small subunit ribosomal RNA", at positions 524 to 776 of the family's 1533-position model. The record is from RNAcentral.
UACGUAGGGUGCGAGCGUUAAUCGGAAUUACUGGGCGUAAAGGGCUCGUAGGUGGCCAACUAAGUCAGACGUGAAAUCCCUCGGCUUAACCGGGGAACUGCGUCUGAUACUGGAUGGCUUGAGUUCGGGAGAGGGAUGCGGAAUUCCAGGUGUAGCGGUGAAAUGCGUAGAUAUCUGGAGGAACACCGGUGGCGAAGGCGGCAUCCUGGACCGACACUGACGCUGAGGAGCGAAAGCCAGGGGAGCAAACGGG